AAAAAAGGUAAGCUACUAAGAGCGAAUGGUGGAUGCCUUGACUGGUAAAGGCGAUGAAGGACGUACUAGACUGCGAUAAGCUACGGGGAGCUGUCAAGAAGCUUUGAUCCGUAGAUUUCCGAAUGGGGCAACCCAAUGUAUAGAGAUAUACAUUACCUAUAUAGGAGCGAACGAGGGGAAUUGAAACAUCUUAGUACCCUCAGGAAAAGAAAUCAAUAGAGAUUGCGUCAGUAGCGGCGAGCGAAAGCGUAAGAGGGCAAACCCAGUGCUUGCACUGGGGGUUGUAGGACUGCAAUGUGCAAGAGGUGAGUUUAGCAGAACAUUCUGGAAAGUAUAGCCAUAGAGGGUGAUAGUCCCGUAUGCGAAAAACAAACCUUAGCUAGCAGUAUCCUGAGUAGGGCGGGACACGAGGAAUCCUGUCUGAAUCCGGGUCGACCACGAUCCAACCCUAAAUACUAAUACCAGAUCGAUAGUGCACAAGUACCGUGAGGGAAAGGUGAAAAGAACUGAGGUGAUCAGAGUGAAAUAGAACCUGAAACCAUUUGCUUACAAUCAUUCAGAGCCCUAUGUAGCAAUACAGGGUGAUGGACUGCCUUUUGCAUAAUGAGCCUGCGAGUUGUGGUGUCUGGCAAGGUUAAGCAAACGCGAAGCCGUAGCGAAAGCGAGUCUGAAUAGGGCGCUUAGUCAGAUGCUGCAGACCCGAAACGAAGUGAUCUAUCCAUGAGCAAGUUGAAGCUAGUGUAAGAACUAGUGGAGGACUGAACCCAUAGGCGUUGAAAAGCCCCGGGAUGACUUGUGGAUAGGGGUGAAAGGCCAAUCAAACUUCGUGAUAGCUGGUUCUCUCCGAAAUAUAUUUAGGUAUAGCGUUGUGUCGUAAUAUAAGGGGGUAGAGCACUGAAUGGGCUAGGGCAUACACCAAUGUACCAAACCCUAUCAAACUCCGAAUACCUUAUAUGUAAUCACAGCAGUCAGGCGGCGAGUGAUAAAAUCCGUCGUCAAGAGGGAAACAACCCAGACUACCAGCUAAGGUCCCUAAAUCUUACUUAAGUGGAAAACGAUGUGAAGUUACUUAAACAACCAGGAGGUUGGCUUAGAAGCAGCCAUCCUUUAAAGAAAGCGUAAUAGCUCACUGGUCUAGUGAUUUUGCGCGGAAAAUAUAACGGGGCUAAAGU
Molecule: ribosomal RNA, 1172 nt
Filed under: Campylobacter coli
Lineage: Bacteria; Pseudomonadati; Campylobacterota; Epsilonproteobacteria; Campylobacterales; Campylobacteraceae
Description: partial 23S ribosomal RNA
Rfam family: Bacterial large subunit ribosomal RNA
Source: RNAcentral